CCUAAAGCUUUCUCCUAUUAAAAAGCUUGGUUGGAGACAGGUCUCAGAAAGUCUCCUCUCUUCUGGGUGCGCGGGGCACCGGGGCAGCCGGCUCAGAGGCAGAUGGAGGCACUAGGGAAGCAGAAAGAGGGAUAACACGGAGGCCCUCCUCCUCUCCCCCCAUCCAUACCGGUCACGCAGACACGGCACAAGCAAAGAAGCUGCUCCAGCGCCCAGUCCCACGUGAUCCAAGAGACCCCGCGACACGCGGCGCAGCCGUUGCCAUCCCGGGCGCCCAAGUAGAUAAAGAUAAACUUGUCUUUACUCUUUUAAGAGCGUAAGUCACCGCUGGGAGAGGGCGAGGUAGCAGACAGCAGCUAAAGCCAAGGCAAAGCCACGGGACGGCAUGUAAAAGAACUGCAGCUAAGCAAUCAGAUGUGGCGAUUAAACACGCGUGAUCCUUUAUCAGCGGGACGGGGGCGGCAAACAGGGCUGCGCAGGUGGGAAGUUCAUCCCCCCGCGCGCCGUUGCCGUCAGCGGGAGCCCUCGGCGUGCACACCUCGCCGUCGCAGCCCUGAGAGCAAGCCCACGCGCAGGUACCGCGUAACCACCUAGACGGAUAGGGUGACGGUAUAACGUGGCAUUUGGCAGAUAAAUUAAGGAAAUACAGCGAGAUUCAGGCAGCUCAAGUAAAGGGGUCUGCAGAGCAGACGGCAAUGCAAUGCGCAGCCGUAACGCGGAAGCAGAAAGCGCUGGGAGCGGUGUACAAUCUGGAGGCCACAGCCAAAACCGCACGGGCAACGUGGGGCAGCAGCGCUGCUCCGUGCUGGACGCGACACUCGACAGCGCGCUGCCGGCACGUAACGCCCCGCGGAGCUGGGGCGGCCGUCACUGCCGCGGUGCUCGGGGGGACCAGACGCCAGGCCCCAGGGACGGCGGGGAAGCGAGCCGAGCGCUGCGCUGGCGGCCGCGUCGGAGGUCGUGGCUGACCCGCCGGGGGUCCUCCUGACCCCAAAGCUGCAAUCGGCUCUCAAACCGCCCCGUGAAUAAGUAAGUUCAAUAUUGCGACCGCCAAGCAAUCGACAAUCAUGAGUUAACCCUAAAUCAGCAGAAUAGCUUGAAAACCAUCAUCAUCAUCAGAGGUAUGACACUUCUUUGGCCGUUUUUUCACCCUCAGCCUUUAUGGGGUAACUGAUGUCACGAUUUGAAGAGUUCACGCACAACUUUGAGGAGAGCAAUGCCUAUUUACUUAAGAAAGGUGUCAUCCUAACAAACUCACUUGCCUCCGGGAGCCAGAGUUUUAAGAAAUACCGGAGAUAGGGAACUAUGGAAAAACCCUAAGAGUCGAUCAAACCGAAGCCGCAUGGAAGACAAGUUCAUUCUGCUCCUGAUAUCACAAUAUUUCCAUGUUAAAGAUCUGAACGCUGGACGUCCCUUUGCAUAUCUGGAAACUCUUUAUUUACGAAGCUUGAUUUUUUGAUAUCCCAUCUAGCAUCUAUAGUCAAGGACAUCUCUUGCCCCGGUUCAGAUGUUUCAGUCGAAGAUAGAUUAAUCUCUUUUUCCCUCCCGAUCUGGGACCUGAAACAGCUUUGGGGCGGGAGGGAGGCAGGAAACAAGAGGGGAGUUAAGCCUUUCGCUUCACCUUUACAAAACCAGCCGCGCAGCCUUGCUGUCCCCGGAGCAGGCCCACGUCAUUGCUGUAGCCACAGCCACACCAUCGGCGUCGCCGAGCUGCGGACGACGCGCCGGCUGUCGUGCGGCGACGUGCGAUGGACAAAGCGGUGCACGUGAGCACGCCGCGCCAAGGGCUGCCGCUCCAACGAGCCGGCGUGGUGCAGCGAGCGCUCCUCCAAAUAAAAAUGACGUAAACGUGGCAAACUGAGACUCGUUAGGAGAAGGGAGCACGUUCAAAGAUUUCCGCUCCCCGGUCUCCAAAAUCCCAAAGUGCACACGCGUCCUUAGAUUCAGAAACAACAACUCUGCAUCCAGCUAUCACCCUCCGCCUCCUCCUCCCCCCUUAAAGCUUACAUUUGAUUCUCUUUUCCACUGUAAAGCCUCAAUCAUAUUUACACCUGCUUUGGGAUCUUUACAGACAAAGACGUUUAACGCUGUGAAAUCUUGGGGAAAGGUAGAGCGACAUGGUGGAUCAAUCAGCUGAUGCUUCUCUCCUGCACAGCAGGGGCCUCGAGAAAACCGCCUGCAUUUUGCGCGGAGGCUCUGCGCUCACUGAAUUCUUCCAUUUUUCUUUGGCACUAGCCAAGCAGAAAGAUAUCAAAAAAAAAAAAAAAAAAAGAGAGAGAGAGAGAGAGAGAGAGAGAGAGAGAAAGAAAGAAAGAGAGAGAGAGCGCGACCAAGCAAGCACAAGCCCUUCCGCAAGGCUCCAGGUUUCCCAGCUAAAGCAAACCGUUGGUUUUCCAGGUGAGACGCCAUUCACGUGUGUCUCCCUGCUGCACAGGGCUCCAGGUGUGGAUGCAGAGGACCUAAAACCUUGAGGUUUUUACACCUAAAAACCAGCCCACAUUGAUCACAGAGCCCCUCGUGCAGGUGGAUCCCGGGAUGCUGAUCAUCCACAAAUAGUUCUCCCGGGUUUUUAACAUCUCUUACCAGGUGACAAGCAAAGCAUAACCUUUAUGAAAGCAUACGCUUAGGGAAGAAUAUUGUUUUUUUCCCCUCUCCACGCAAGAAGUGCCUCAUCUGAAAACGUGAGAGCACAAAGAAGUGGGCGUUAACGUCAGGGUAAGGAAUCAAGCAAACAGGGACAAGCAGUUAAGUUACGCUACCUUUGGGGGGGCCACAGAGGGGAUCGCUCCUUUCCCUUCAAAUAGCUGCAAUGCAAUUUUCAAAAUAUUUGCAUCCACUUAUUGUAAUACACUUGAAAUACCACAUUCUUGGUCCUUAAUAGUCAGUCAUGGCAGAGAUACCCAGCUCUUACCGAGAACUUAAAGUCAAGGCCUUGGACAAACAUCCUGUGCUUGCAGGGAAUGUGGUCGGGCACUGGGAUCCUGAAAAGCUCUUUCCCUUCACAUAUUUUUCAAUAUCUUAUUUUUGGUUAGAAAAAACAUGUUCAUUUCUAAUACUUUGUCACUAAUGUCACCAUUUUUUAAAACUCUUCAUGCGGAUCUGUCAAGGAAACAUUUUAGUUUGGCAAUUUUUCAUUCUUUCAUCCAUGGUUUUCUCUUAAUAAAUACUGAAGUUGA
Molecule: long non-coding RNA, 3176 nt
Organism: Dromaius novaehollandiae (emu)
Lineage: Eukaryota; Metazoa; Chordata; Aves; Casuariiformes; Dromaiidae
Exons: 2
Source: RefSeq, a predicted model, not a curated record